CCUACGGGUGGCAGCAGUGAGGAAUAUUGGUCAAUGGACGAGAGUCUGAACCAGCCAAGUAGCGUGAAGGAUGACUGCCCUAUGGGUUGUAAACUCCUUUUAUAUGGGAAUAAAAUGUUCCACGUGUGGGAUUUUGUAUGUACCAUAUGAAUAAGGAUCGGCUAAUUCCGUGCCAGCAGCCGCGGUAAUACGGAGGAUCCGAGCGUUAUCCGGAUUUAUUGGGUUUAAGGGGAGCGUAGGUGGAUGGUUAAGUCAGUUGUGAAAGUUUGCGGCACAACCGUAAAAUUGCAGUUGAAACUGGCAGGCUUGAGUACAGUAGAGGUGGGCGGAAUUCGUGGUGUAGCGGUGAAAUGCUUAGAUAUCACGAAGAACACCGAUUGCGAAGGCAGCUCACUGGACUGCAACUGACACUGAGGCUCGAAAGUGUGGGUAUCAAACAGGAUUAGAUACCCUUGUAGUC
This 460-nucleotide ribosomal RNA is filed under the name uncultured bacterium. Its description in RNAcentral is "partial 16S ribosomal RNA". It matches the Rfam family "Bacterial small subunit ribosomal RNA", at positions 338 to 795 of the family's 1533-position model. The record is from RNAcentral.